CCUGACCUCUCUCUUGCUGAAACUUUAUCUCUCUCUCUAUCUCUUUGUAAUCUAACAUGUACACCUCUCUCUUAUCUUCUCCAUCUCUUCCACUUAAGAUGAAACUGAAACUACCAAACCCUAACCUUGAAUCUACCAAUCCAUCACCCCGAGUACACCACCACUACCAUCUUGUUCUUCUAUAUCUCCUUUCAGUCACCAUCAACACACGACCACCGGCAGCUUAAUAAUACCCAAAAACCCUAAACCCAAAUCUCAUCUUUAAAGUUUCAGAUUCUCGGCAAUACCAAAAGAAAGAAAAAACACUUCCAAAUUUUUUUCCCAACCCUAGAUUUCAAAUGGCCAGAAGUUUCGUUUUUCUCUUCCUCUCUCUGAAAAAUUCUAGGGCGUGAUUUUGCUUCAUGGCGGAGAUUGCAAUAACUAAUACAGACACUUCAUAUCGAUUGUCGAGGAGAGAGAAGAGAUAUCUAAAGUUUCAGUUGAAUCUGUUGAUGUUUCAAUUGGAAGAAGAAACUCCAGUUGGAUCAAAUGAUAUUGGUUCGAAUUAUGAUUUUGAAGAAAUUGGACCAGUAAUUAAAGGAAAUGUAUUCCUAAGGUUCCAGGAAAUUUUAAAGUUGUUGAUCUGAGUUUGACUGGUGUUGAACCAAGAGUCUAUGGUAAUGGAGUUUACAUAGGGUUGAGGAGUUCAGGAAAUUGGCGAGAUCAUGUCGAGAUGGAAAAGCACUUGCAUGGCAGGUGACAAUUACAAAACUCUGACCAUAGCAGCUUGAACUCACCACAACAGCUAGCAGAAUGAAUUCCACAUGGUGGUGAUCCUUGCGGAGGCACUGGCUCGCCUGUUAAUAAUUUAUAAGUACUUGUGUUUCGCAUUGUAGGAGCUAUUGGAUACACUCACUGGAUCCUCUUCAUGGAAGACAUUGUGACUUACAAAUUCACUUACUUGAAUUCCCUGGAUAUGGUGCGUAACCUACAAAUCCCUUGGUUGUUUUUCCCUUAGGAAAAAAAUUGUCAGUGUAUAUUUAGUUAAGGCUAAGGAUCUGUAAGUAAUUCAUUACUUGAAUUUAUGACAACAAGUGUAUCUGAAUGAUUAGUUUUUGAUUUGGAUCCUGAACACCAAAUUAAGAUCAUCAGUAUACUAUCAACCAGAGUAUUCCCUUCCUUGUUCAUGCACAAUAUGUAAGUCAAUUCUCCCUUCCCUUAUUUUCUCGGGUGGCAGUUUCUGAACCAAUGAUCAGUUUUUGAUUAGGUGUAAAAUUCUGCACCGUUUAUAAUGUUCGACAGUUCCAAUAUAAUCGACUAGUAUAGAUCUUAAUCUUUCUAGAUGAUAUAUGGUCAUCCUUGGUGCUCAUUGUUGUUGUUAUUGCUGUUGUAGAGAACACUCGAGCAGCCUACCGCGAUGUAUCUUUUAUUUUUGACAGUGUCAUUGACUAGUAGUAUUGUGGCCAUGUAUUUGCAGAUGUGCUUUAACUGAAGUAUUCUUUGUGUUGGAGCCUUUUUUUCAGGUUUCAAGUGGAAGCUUACUUCUUCAAAAAGGAGGAUGAAACUGCUGCUGAUAUUGCUCUUGCGGACAUGCUAUUGUGUCCAUGUACUUGCAGAUGUGCUUUAACUAAAGUAUCCUUUGUGUUGGAGCCCUUUUUUCCAGGUUUUAAGUGGAAGCUUACUUCAUCACAAAGGAGGAUGAAACUGUUGCUGGCAUUGCUCUUGCGGACAUGCUAUUCAAAGAAUUCAAUCUAUACUAGUGUUGUUUACCGAUUUGUUUUUUUUUAUGUUUAUACAAUUGAAGUUAGUGAGUGUGUUUUGAAAGUUUUGAUAUGUUAAACCGGGGUAAUACUUAAAUGUUGAAGUUGUAAACGGAAUCCACCUUUUAAUAUAAAUGUUAAUUUUGUUUCCAUAUAAUAAUUUUAGUUUUAAUUUUGAU
Long non-coding RNA from Papaver somniferum (opium poppy), 1918 nucleotides. RefSeq lists it as uncharacterized. Lineage: Eukaryota; Viridiplantae; Streptophyta; Magnoliopsida; Ranunculales; Papaveraceae. The transcript is spliced from 6 exons. The record is from RefSeq and is a predicted model, not a curated record.